Molecule: unclassified non-coding RNA, 348 nt
Filed under: soil metagenome
Description: partial contains 5.8S ribosomal RNA, internal transcribed spacer 2, and large subunit ribosomal RNA
Rfam family: 5.8S ribosomal RNA (bases 1-120)
Source: RNAcentral
GAUGAAGAACGUAGCGAAAUGCAAUAAGUAAUGUGAAUUGCAGAAUUCAGUGAAUCAUCGAAUCUUUGAACGCACAUUGCGCCCGCCAGUAUUCUGGCGGGCAUGCCUGUCUGAGCGUCAUUUCAACCCUCAUGCCCCUAGGGCGUGGUGUUGGGGAUCGGCCAAAGCCCGCGAGGGACGGCCGGCCCCUAAAUCUAGUGGCGGACCCGUCGUGGCCUCCUCUGCGAAGUAGUGAUAUUCCGCAUCGGAGAGCGAUGAGCCCCUGCCGUUAAACCCCCAACUUUCCAAGGUUGACCUCAGAUCAGGUAGGAAUACCCGCUGAACUUAAGCAUAUCAAUAAGCGGAGGA